RNAcentral lists this ribosomal RNA (517 nucleotides) under uncultured fungus. Its description in RNAcentral is "eukaryotic LSU rRNA". The stretch from base 153 to 306 matches the Rfam family "5.8S ribosomal RNA". Lineage: Eukaryota; Fungi. The record is from RNAcentral.
GAACGCCCGGGCUUCGGCCUGGUUAUUCAUAACCCUUUGUUGUCCGACUCUGUUGCCUCCGGGGCGACCCUGCCUUCGGGCGGGGGCUCCGGGUGGACACUUCAAACUCUUGCGUAACUUUGCAGUCUGAGUAAACUUAAUUAAUAAAUUAAAACUUUUAACAACGGAUCUCUUGGUUCUGGCAUCGAUGAAGAACGCAGCGAAAUGCGAUAAGUAAUGUGAAUUGCAGAAUUCAGUGAAUCAUCGAAUCUUUGAACGCACAUUGCGCCCCCUGGUAUUCCGGGGGGCAUGCCUGUUCGAGCGUCAUUUCACCACUCAAGCCUCGCUUGGUAUUGGGCAACGCGGUCCGCCGCGUGCCUCAAAUCGUCCGGCUGGGUCUUCUGUCCCCUAAGCGUUGUGGAAACUAUUCGCUAAAGGGUGUUCGGGAGGCUACGCCGUAAAACAACCCCAUUUCUAAGGUUGACCUCGGAUCAGGUAGGGAUACCCGCUGAACUUAAGCAUAUCAAUAAGCGGAGGA